GGGRAACCCUGAUCUAGCCAUGCSGCGUGAGUGACGARGGCCCUAGGGUCGUAAAGCUCUUUCGCCAGGGAAGAUAAUGACGGUACCUGGUAAAGAAACCCSGGCUAACUCSGUGCCAGCAGCCGCGGUAAUACGGAGGGGGKUAGCGUUGUUCGGAAUUACUGGGCGUAAAGCGCGCGUAGGCGGACUUUUAAGUUAGAGGUGAAAUCCCGGGGCUCAACCCCGGAACUGCCUUUAAUACUGGAAGUCUUGAGUUCGAGAGAGGUGAGUGGAAUUCCGAGUGUAGAGGUGAAAUUCGUAGAUAUUUGGAGGAACACCAGUGGCGAAGGCGGCUCACUGGCUCGAUACUGA
This 351-nucleotide ribosomal RNA is filed under the name uncultured Paracoccaceae bacterium. RNAcentral's name for it is "bacterial SSU rRNA". It matches the Rfam family "Bacterial small subunit ribosomal RNA", at positions 375 to 743 of the family's 1533-position model. Lineage: Bacteria; Pseudomonadati; Pseudomonadota; Alphaproteobacteria; Rhodobacterales; Paracoccaceae. The record is from RNAcentral.